Molecule: long non-coding RNA, 344 nt
Filed under: Ananas comosus (pineapple)
Lineage: Eukaryota; Viridiplantae; Streptophyta; Magnoliopsida; Poales; Bromeliaceae
Description: long non-coding RNA (ACOM_LNC006788)
Source: RNAcentral
UGAUUGGCAUGUUUAUAUGUGGAAUCUGAGUUUGGAGCAUAAAGUAAUAAUUUUAGACAAUUUAUACAUGUUGGACGUGGAUUUGACUUAGGAGAAAACCAGCGAUUCUACACUGUCAUAUGUUAACACUACCAGAUUUAGUUAUAGGAGCCGUAAUUGUUUGUAUCGUCGCAGUUUGUGGGUGGGGGAUACCCAGGAUAGUGUAGAAAAUUUUACGCUCGUGCUGGGAUGCCGAGCUUAUUUUUACAGUAUUGUUCAGACUGUUCUAGAUUGUUGGGUGCCGUUGAGGUUGACGGUGGACCCAGAUUACUGUUUUUGCAUCAGAUUGUGUCAAGGGCACGUGC